GCAUUCAUAAUAUUCUUUAAAAGAGUCAUCGGUUUCCAAGUGUUCGGUCAUAGACUAGCGUUCGGUUUUUCAAGUACUCGGUCUUAGACUAGCACUCACCCUUUAAAAUACUAGGUUAUAUAUUAAUACUAUUCUUUGGAAGAGUGUUCGGUCUUACAAUGACACUUGAUUUCCCAAAGAGUGUUCGGUUUUGUACUGGCACUCGUUUCCCUGAAGAGAAUUUCUUUUAUGUUAAAUCAUUUGGCCAAGGUUGUAAAGUUCUCGGUUUAAACUCUAAAGUGCUCGGUCUAAGUCCCCCUACUCAGUCUAAGAUAUUAUUAUAAAAUGUUGAAUCUGAUUCUGAAAUUAUGUUUCUAUGUGUUCGGUUUAAACAGUAUUCGGUCUUCCAAAGGAAUUACCCAUUUGCUUGACCGUUCGGUCAGUCCCUUAAAUUAUUCAUUCUCUUAUAGGAGUUGUUACUACAUGUGAUGAUGUGCUUUUUGGUUAUAUAUUUUGUAAGAGAAUUCCAAGGAGGAAUGUCUCAUGAUUAGUGAUGAUUUGGUAAAGUAUGAACAUGGUCAGUCUCUGCUGUCGUUUUGUUCCUGGUAUUCCGUUAGGACGCCUUCUCAUGUAGAGAAGGUAAUUCAUGUCUAGGAAUGGCAGAAGGUCCGCGAUCAUAAGACCAGAUGGUCGUUUUAGGACUAACCUCGGGUGGCAGCUGAUGUAUGAAUGCCAGUUACUACACUACACCGGGUGCUAGAAACGUAGAGCUACAUUGUUCAUACCGUCCGGACAGAGUCUAAAGUGGUCGGUCUUUAUAGUCUAAAACAUUCGGUUUUUCUUUGCUUUCUAUACUUAUAUGAUUAUUGUAUGAAUGAAAUGUUGUUUGAUCAUAUCAUGGUGACGGUUGAAUGUAUGUGAGUUUAGAAUAAUUAAACUACAUAAGCUUACCCUUAUUCUUCCGUCAUGUCUUUGUUGUCGUUCGAUAUUUGUCGUUUGGUCCUUUCUCUUCACUACAAUGAUCAUCCAUUGGAUGUGAGCAGAAGGUGUUAUUGAAGAAUCAUUGGAGGAAGCCCUGCAGUUGGAGCAACCUGAGGACAGUGUUGGACCGUCCGGUCCUUAGUUAGGUUUUAAUUACUGCUUUGUGUAUAUAACCGUUCGGUUAUAUUAUAUUUUGUAAAACCGUUCGGUAUGCCGUUUGUUUUAGGCCGUUCUGUAUGCCGUUUGUUUUAGGCCGUUCGGUAGUAUAUGAACCUUAGACCGUUCGGUCUCUCAUUGUACAUUUUAUCUCUUGUACAACUUCAAAUUCCA
This 1290-nucleotide long non-coding RNA is filed under the name Vigna radiata. RNAcentral's name for it is "long non-coding RNA (VRAD_LNC002778)". The record is from RNAcentral. Lineage: Eukaryota; Viridiplantae; Streptophyta; Magnoliopsida; Fabales; Fabaceae.